Molecule: long non-coding RNA, 1635 nt
Organism: Equus asinus (donkey)
Lineage: Eukaryota; Metazoa; Chordata; Mammalia; Perissodactyla; Equidae
Source: Ensembl
GAGGGUUUCAAGGAGGUAGCGGUCAAAUGUGUCUAGUACAAAUUAGAGGUCAAGGGAGAUAGUGAUUGAAAGUUUCCUUUGGAUUUUAUGAAAAGGGCGGCGUUGUUUAUCUUGGCUACGGCAGUUUAAGUGGAGCAGUGGUGAGGCCAGAUUUCAUUGAGCUGAUCAAUGAAGGCUCUCGCCUUUGCUGGAUGGGUAGCCAAGGGUUAGGGCACAGCCUGUGGCCUCCAAACAGAAGACAAGGAGAUGAGGGCCCGGCUCACAUUCACCUAGUGCUCUAACUGGCUGUGCAAACCAGCCGCAGACAGCAGGCAGCACUUUAUGCAGAGGGAAGACCGUGUGGAGACACUGGAGAAAAAUGGCCAUCUAUAAGCCAAGGAGAGAGGCCUUAGAAGAAACCACCUCACCUUAAUCUUGGACUUCUAGCAUCUGAAAUUGUUGGAUGGGCGCUCAAAGAGCUCUGGCUGAGGCAGUAGCUACGCUUCACUCUGUACGGUGGCUUUGGAAGUGAGCUUCCCGGUUUUUCUGCCUUGCAUUGGCACUUCUAUAUUACAGACUCACCGCAGGACAUCACGUGACGGCUGGCAGCCCUUGCCAGACCCAGCUUGGGUUUUAGUGGAACCAACUGGGAGACUGAGCUCAAGGAGUCGCUACCACCCGGGCUCGUUUAGCUGGAUGGGGCAUGGCUGCUGCACACAGAACAAGAAUGAAGGACAAUACCUGUUCCUGAGGAUGCGAUGCUUACCCAAGAAGAUGUUGAACAUGAGGGAUGCUUUGUGACCAAGAAAUUACAGUCUUCUGAGAGGACUCUGGCAGAGAGCCCUGUAUGGAGGAGGAGGUGCUCCUUGGGAGACCCCUUUGAAGAGUAAGAAGGGAGUGGAGGGUUUGAGGAGGGCUGAGCAGGUGAGAGCCGGCCAGAGGAGACUUGCUGAGCUGGUACACAUCAUGGGAGGAAGACGAGGAAAACCAGGCUGCAAUAAGGUGAGCCUCUGAAAGCCAUUUGUCAGGCUUUUCCCCAAGGAGGGACUGUGCCCUGAGAGGUGGACUAAUAGGGGUACUUUAGGUUUAAUGGAGGACCUUUCAAGGACCUCUUGAUGUGCUGCGUCUCUCCAUCUCAUCAGCGAUUCUUCUGUGCCCAAGACACCCUGAGAGACACUGGAGUUAUGAAAAAGUAUGCACUAUCUCCACCUUCAUAGAGCCGACAAUACCUCUGAGGGGACCAGACCUUCACAAAGACAUGCACAAUCUUAUUUGUUUAGCGAUGGAACUUUGUGGAAACAUGGCUAACGCAGCACAGUGUAUGCUAUGUAGAGGAUGAAUCAGACCGCCAAAACCAUAGUCUGAUUCACUACUUGACAAUCUUUUUCUCGAAUAAUGAGCUAUUUUUCAAAUGUAAAUGAAUUUAAAAUUUCUCUGAAAUGACCAAAGACCCCUUUUUGUUUUCAAAAGGGAAAUGUACAGUAUACCCAGGGAGCUGGCUUCCCAGUUUCUUUUCUCUCUGCUCAUAAAGGCAACAGUGGAAUAAGGCUUCAGAGGGGCUCUGUGCUCCGGAUGCCACAUGAUAUGGGCAGCAGGUUCCACACUGACCUCUUGGGCAGACGAAGUGGAGCUGGCUGAACAUUUCUCGCUGUGCCU